GGCUCACGCCAAAUCCUUCUUCAUACUCGCUCUUUUGUAUAAAUCCUCUUUU
This 52-nucleotide small RNA is filed under the name Arabidopsis thaliana (thale cress). RNAcentral describes it as "ATSL133420". Lineage: Eukaryota; Viridiplantae; Streptophyta; Magnoliopsida; Brassicales; Brassicaceae. The record is from RNAcentral.